UACGGAGGGGGCUAGCGUUGUUCGGAAUUACUGGGCGUAAAGCGCACGUAGGCGGAUUGUUAAGUCGGGGGUGAAAUCCUGGAGCUCAACUCCAGAACUGCCUUCGAUACUGACGAUCUCGAGUCCGGGAGAGGUGAGUGGAACUGCGAGUGUAGAGGUGAAAUUCGUAGAUAUUCGCAAGAACACCAGUGGCGAAGGCGGCUCACUGGCCCGGUACUGACGCUGAGGUGCGAAAGCGUGGGGAGCAAACAGG
Molecule: ribosomal RNA, 253 nt
Filed under: uncultured bacterium
Lineage: Bacteria
Description: partial 16S ribosomal RNA
Rfam family: Bacterial small subunit ribosomal RNA
Source: RNAcentral